RNAcentral lists this long non-coding RNA (3828 nucleotides) under Heterocephalus glaber (naked mole-rat). RNAcentral's name for it is "lncRNA (ENSHGLG00100039881.1)". The record is from RNAcentral. Lineage: Eukaryota; Metazoa; Chordata; Mammalia; Rodentia; Bathyergidae.
GUAGGUGAAACCCACCCUCCAGCUCUGGCCAGCACUGAGCAGGGGUGACAGCUGCCAGGCAGCGACUGUCAUUUUGGGUUGAAAGGCUGCCUUGGCAGAGCUCAGAUCAGAUCCUUCAGAACAAGGUCCCCUGUGUCCCCCGGAGUGACAUGGAAAGCUAUGGCCCACCAUCCUCCGGAGUUGAUUCUGCAGCCCAGCAUCCUGAGCAAACGUGCUCACUCAUUCUUUAAAGAUGUCCAAAGAGUUCUUUCUCCACUGUACCCUAACUCCCUCCUUCUAUACCUAAUUUUUUUUUUAAAAAAUUGGGGAUUGAAUUCAGGGACCUCAUACUGAAUUACACCCCUAGACUUUCUAUAUUUUUUAUUUUGAGAUAGGGUCUCUAUCAUUGAGUGGCCCAGUCUGGGCUCAAACUUUAAAUCUUCCUGCCUCAGCCUCUCAGAGUGCUGGGAUGACUGUCAUGCACCUCCACAACCCACUCUAAACCCCAUUUCUUCUGGUUCUGCCCUCACAUGACUCAGAGGGACUGGAGGCCCGCAUCUCCACAGUGACAUUUUCACCAGUCCACAGCACAAUAAAAAAUUAAAGACAGAGGAAUGCCUAUUUCUCAGUGUAAAGUCAAUAAUGGCUCCUUUCUUAGAAAUGACUGGCAGUAGCUUUUAUUUUUAGAGACAGGGUCUUGCUAUUUUUCCCAGGUUGGUCUCAAUAGAUUCUCCUGCCUCAGCCUCCCAGCAGUUGAGACUACAGGUGCAUGCCUUCAUACCCAGCAAGAAUGACUGUUUUCCACUCAGAUGAUGUUGUUUUUAUUUUGAAGGGGUUAAAAUUUAUUUUACAGAAGGGUGAUAAUAGACGGUAGGUGUGUCUUGAAUGUUCUUGGGAAACAUUAAAAGCAGCAACUCUUUCUGGGAACUUGGCUUUUAUUUUGUUUUGUUUUUCUGUCCAAUCUAGAAAUCCGGCACAGCUGUCCAGAGGGAAGUUGAGAGCCAACAUACACAGAGGUGGCCUGAGGUCCUCACCUGGCCUCAGCAAGGUCUCGGGCUGCCCUGGCACCCACCUCUGUGCCAUCUGUGCCAGAAUUUUACCUCCAGGGCCCGAUCCCCCAAGCUCAGUGCAGAAUAUCAGGGUGGGUGACAGGCCGGGCCCUGACCAGACAGCCGUGUUCGAAACCACUUCAGCCACUGACUUAGCAAUCCUUACACCUCAUUUUCCCCACCUGUAAAAUGGGACUAGUAAGACCCACUUUCUGUGAAGGAUUUAGCGGAGCUCUUGGAACUGUGCCCAGCACACAGACUUCAAUAAACGUCGGUUUUAUGACAAUCCGGAAGUUUCACCUGGGCAAAAUGCUGGGGAACUCAGGCUGUGGGACCGGUGGGAGGGCACCUCGCAGUGUCAGGUCUGAGAAGCAAACCCUUCAGCCCUCGCAUCACCACUGCCCCUUCCAGGCUACUGAAUCCCAACUCCUGGAACCCAUCUCACCACCUUCAGGGACUCCAGAGCCCUCUCUGAAGCCCCCACAAAUUCCUAAACCAGGCACACAGCCCAUUCCCCUGAGAUGCUUUGCUCCUAAAACCACCUAACCACCUGUGAAACCCUGAGGCUACUUCCUCGUUCCUUACACCCUGACCCUGGCAGGUGCUUCAGCCUGGUUCACUGCAGAGCUCCAGAUGCUGGGGGUGGGGGCGGGGAUGGGAAACAUCCAGCUAGGCCAUUACUGAGGACGGCCCUGUAUGCGCCAAAGCUAAGGAAACACUGGACUCCGCUGAAGGCUUGGGUUCAAAUCACGGCUGUGUGGGCUUUGGACAAAUUCCGUCAUCGCAGUCCGUUUCCUUCUCCCGCGCACGAACCUGGAAAGCGCAGCCGUCGGGGCUGACCGAGGGAACGUGCUGUUCCCGCGGGGCGCUGGGGACACUUGACGCGGCAGAAGGCCCAGCGAGGGGCGCCCGUGCCCUGCGGCGCAUCCCACCCUCUCCGACACCAUCCCCUCCCGGACCCGCUUACCCCGGCCCGGGAACCAGAGUCGGAGGCCUCCGGGUGGCUCUCACUCCGGCUAAGGCACUGAGACUGACGAGGUUAGUGCGCUAGGUGGGCGGCCCGCGCCCCCAGCCGAGGCGGGCGUGGGGCGGAGCCUCCCGCGGCGGGCACAGGACGUUCCCGCUCCGUCCUCCCCGCCCCCGCUCACUUUCUGCGCUCCCUUCCUCCACGCUCGCCGCCCGUACCUUACUUAACUCCUGGCUUACAGCUCUCCGCGGGCACUGUGCGCCUCCGAGAACCCCACGAUCCCGCGCGUCCCCGGCGCGGAGCGGGGCUGCCCGGGGCGCGGGGGGCCAGAGCACACGCCUCGGGGCCGGAGGAUGGCGAGGGCUCACCGAGACCGACGCCCGCACUCCCCCGCCCCCCCCACGCUGGAGCGCCAGGGCAAGGCUCGGCGGAGGAGCGGCCGGGGCGGCGGGAAGGAUGGAGGGGCCACGCCCCUCGCGCACGUCACUGUUUCCAAGGACACGGGGGAGGGGCGCCCGUGGCUCUCGCACCACGUGGGGUUGGGUGCGGCGGCGGCGGCGGCGGCGGCGGCGGCGGCGGCGGCGGCGGCGGCGGCGGCGGGGGGGGGGGAGGGCUUUUCAAUCCGCUUCUUCGCGCUUUGAUAUCCGAGAAACGCAACGAGGGACAGCGUCUUUCGCCCUUUCAUUCGGCGUUUAAGCUGGGCACCACGCUCAGGCACCAGGAUACCGCGCGCCCUCGCGGGUUUUCGUGACCCGGGGAGUCUGCAGCCUGGGACUGAAGUUUCUCUGGACCUAGGAGGUUGGUCCUUGUCUCCUUGCUACCUUGUUUGCCCAGCACUUGAGCAAUACUCCUGAGCCCAGCGAGACCAGCGAAGGCUCCUCCUUGGAAGCCACCUCCAGGAGCUGGGCAGAGCAGAGGCCAGCUGCAGGAUGUUCCUGCUCCCAAGCUGCCAGGGACCAAGACAAGCAGGGAGAAGAGAACACGCAGGGACUUGGAGGGAAAUUCCUCCGGCCGUUGGGCCACACCCGCCCUAGAGGACCUCCCGAGCUCUUCGGGCAGAGCGGAAGCCAGACCCAGACAGGGACGCUGAAGUGACAAUCCCCAGCCCUGUGUGGGCCAGGAGCCCCUGAGGGGGAGGGGCCACGGUGCUCUCCCCACCCCAGAGCCAGGCGUGGGUUGCAACAGAGGCUUCUCCAGGGAGGCUUGAGAGGAAGUUCAGCCCAAGCGGGAGCCAAGCCUGGGCCCAGCAGGGAGAGCUGCGGUGGGUACAGGACUGAGGAGGACACCACUGUGCGAAGACUGGCCUCCUCUCACCUGCCCCGUCCUGCACCCCCGGCCCGGAACUUUGUGCCUUCGCCCGCUGCACUCCUACCAGCACGGAAUUCCGAGCCACACCGAGCUCCUCUCAGCCGGCCCCACCUGCGAGUCACGUUCCUGCCUCGCCACGCAGUUAUCCCCUGGGCCUUUGUACCUGCUUUCCUGGCGCCGGGAAUGCCCUUCCCCCAUUGACCCAGCAAGGACCUUGUCACUUUCCAGGCCUAAACCUUAAGAAGGUCUGGAAGUUUCCAUAUUUGCCCUUUGGCAGAAGCCAGCCACCACAUCCAGAUGUCCAACUACCUUGAAAUCAUCUGUGAAACUCAGCGUAGCCACAUGGAGAGACCAAGUGGAGAAGAACAGGACAGCAGCCAGCAUCGCGGCUGAGAGCCCAUUUGCCUUCCACAGUUAGGCCAUCUUGGAAUUAAGUCAUUCAGCCCUGGUCAAGCCACCGAACUGAGGAGGCAUAGACUGGAGACCACCUGUCCUUGCUGAAUUCUGUCCAAACUGUAAAAUUAU